Molecule: ribosomal RNA, 555 nt
Filed under: Panaspis africana
Lineage: Eukaryota; Metazoa; Chordata; Lepidosauria; Squamata; Scincidae
Description: Panaspis africanus partial 16S ribosomal RNA
Rfam family: Bacterial large subunit ribosomal RNA
Source: RNAcentral
CUUUAKCUAWRCAAGUAUUAAAGGUCCUGCCUGCCCAGUGAGACAUUAAACGGCCGCGGUAUCCUAACCGUGCAAAGGUAGCGUAAUCACUUGUCUCUUAAAUAGAGACUUGUAUGAACGGCUAAAUGAAGAUAGCACUGUCUCCUUUAAUUAACCAGUGAAACUGAUCUCCAAGUACAAAAGCUUGGAUAAAAACACAAGACGAGAAGACCCUGUGGAGCUUAAAACAACCCUAUUAAACUAAAUAGCUAUGUUUUAAGUUGGGGCGACUUCGGAGAAAACCAAAACCUCCGAGCACAGGGCCAACCCCCCCCCUAACAGAGGCCAACAAGCCAACGACACCAAACUGACCCAGUCUAACUGAAUAACGGACCAAGUUACCCCAGGGAUAACAGCGCCAUCUUCUUCAAGAGUUCCCAUCGACAAGAAGGUUUACGACCUCGAUGUUGGAUCAGGACACCCAAAUGGUGCAGCAGCUAUUAAAGGUUCGUUUGUUCAACGAUUAACAGUCCUACGUGAUCUGAGUUCAGACCGGAGUAAUCCAGGUCGGUUUCU